Molecule: long non-coding RNA, 1834 nt
Organism: Homo sapiens (human)
Lineage: Eukaryota; Metazoa; Chordata; Mammalia; Primates; Hominidae
Source: Ensembl
GCUGGUGAGUUCUGAGUACCCAUGUCUGUCCUUAAUCUUGAUCCUGUUCUGGAUGGUGGAAUCAAUACUGCAGCCCACUUGCAUGUGCUCUCUGUAACCCAGAGAAUGUUUUAUUGCUCUCCUUGUAUUCUCUGUCCCCUCUAAAGAAUAAAAGGUGAAGUUUAUCAAGUGGUAUACUUUUUGCUCACAAGCCAAUAAAGAAGCUGAGUUUGUUUUUCAAACUUUGUUUUAAUUGGGGCUUUUGGGGCACAAUGAGAUGAACUUGUUAAAUAGAGAAAUGAAUCUAUUAUUUCCUGCCAUGAAACUGCGAAACUGUGAAAGAGUCAAUCUUAGUUGCAGUUAAUGGUGACUUACAGAAUGGAGUCUUGAGAAUGUCUAUGCAUCUUUACCAAGGACAUGUUCAUACAAAAUAGGGAAUUAAGAUGCUUUUCCUCAGCAAUUAUUUGCUUUUGAAUUUUGUACCUAUUUGCGUAAUUCCAUUUAAAGUCUUAAUAGAAUUUUUCAAACUAAGUCUACAUGCACAGCCUAGAUAUACUGCAGAAAAAAUUGAGUUCAGAGUAUAACUUUUUUCCUGUCAAGACUUGCAAACUACAAUUUACUUAUUGUUUGAAGAUAGCAGUUUCCAUGGGCUUCAAGCUUAAUUAACUAACAGUGAACUAUGAGCUUUGAUUUUAUUUUUUAAACAGUUUCAUAAAUGAACUUAAUUAUUCCAUAGUGAGUACAAUUUUUUUGGCAUUAACAAAUCAAACAGUCAAAUAUUUGAACUAGUUUUCUAGUGCUACCAUAACAAAGUACCACAGAGUGAGUGGCUUAAAUAACAGAACUUUUUUAUCUUACAGGUCUGGAAGCUGGAAUUUCAAAAUCAAGGUUUGACAGUUGUUUCUUUCUUAGGACUGUGAGAGAAGGAGUUGAUCCAGGCAUCUCUACUUGCUUAGUUGAUAUGAAUUUGAGAUAAAGAAAUGCACAAAGUGGCACAAAGAAGAUCCAGACAUGUUAAGAAGGGAAAACAAUCUAUUUCAGUCUGAAAAGGAGAUGUUGUAAUAACCUGACAACAUUCAAUUGACUGAUCAGAUCUUGGCCUUUGUACAAAUCGAGAAGUAGAAAAUAAGCUAGAAAUAUUACUCAGAGACAGCCCUGAUUCCAUUGAAUCUCAUUUUCCUUCUGUACAAAGUAAAGGUAAUAGAAUUUUGUGCUAACACUGUGUACAUGUACUACCAUGAUAAUAAAAAGUAAAUAAAGAUGUUUUAUUCUUUAAAAUAUUUAUCUAUACUGAGACCCAAUCAUAAUAACAAUUUUUUUAUUGUACUUUCCUUUGUGCUAACAUUGCUCUAUGACUUUUUGUAAGUUAUCUGGAAAUUUUGCAAGGGGUGUUUCUAACUUACAAACAAGACAAUAAAAUAUGAGAAAGAUGAAAGAUUAAAAAUAGCUAUGCAUUCUUAGCAGCUCCUCACUUUAAGAGGGAGAAUCUAUUUUCCAACCCCCUUGAUUCUGUGCUGACUUUAUGACUUGCUUUGGCACUAGGAUACUUUAAAAGUGAUGUUGUAGAUGUUCCAGGUGAACAAGGCAAGAAGCCUAGGAGCUUCUCUCCUACCCUGUUAGAAUGCUGCUGCCAAGCUGAUCCGCUAGAGACACUAGGACCAGGAAAUGGGUAAUACCAACAACCAGACAUGUGAGUGAGGCAGCUCCAAGCAAGUCACCAAGAAACUGACUACAGCCCCAUGAGUGACCCCAGGAGACACCAUCAGAAGAACCACUCAGGUGAUCCCAAGGUUGUUUCGUCACCUAGCCCAAACUGAUGACCUUCAGAGUCAUGAGUCAGAAUAAAAUGGUGGUU